RNAcentral lists this transfer RNA (71 nucleotides) under Loxodonta africana (African savanna elephant). It matches the Rfam family "tRNA". Rfam says of the family: Transfer RNA (tRNA) molecules are approximately 80 nucleotides in length. Their secondary structure includes four short double-helical elements and three loops (D, anti-codon, and T loops). Lineage: Eukaryota; Metazoa; Chordata; Mammalia; Proboscidea; Elephantidae. The record is from Rfam by way of RNAcentral.
GGAUUGGUGGCUCAGUGGUAGAAUUCUUGCCUUCGGUGCAGGAGGCCCAGGUUGAAUUCCUGGCCAGUGCA